RNAcentral lists this ribosomal RNA (495 nucleotides) under uncultured bacterium. Its description in RNAcentral is "partial 16S ribosomal RNA". It matches the Rfam family "Bacterial small subunit ribosomal RNA", at positions 28 to 507 of the family's 1533-position model. The record is from RNAcentral.
GACGAACGCUGGCGGCGUGCCUAAUACAUGCAAGUAGAACGCUGAAGGAGGAGCUUGCUUCUCUGGAUGAGUUGCGAACGGGUGAGUAACGCGUAGGUAACCUGCCUGGUAGCGGGGGAUAACUAUUGGAAACGAUAGCUAAUACCGCAUAAUAUUGACUCUUGCAUGAUAGUCAGUUGAAAGGUGCAACUGCACCACUACCAGAUGGCCCUGCGUUGUAUUAGCUAGUUGGUGGGGUAACGGCUCACCAAGGCGACGAUACAUAGCCGACCUGAGAGGGUGAUCGGCCACACUGGGACUGAGACACGGCCCAGACUCCUACGGGAGGCAGCAGUAGGGAAUCUUCGGCAAUGGACGGAAGUCUGACCGAGCAACGCCGCGUGAGUGAAGAAGGUUUUCGGAUCGUAAAGCUCUGUUGUAAGAGAAGAACGAGUGUGAGAGUGGAAAGCUCACACUGUGACGGUAUCUUACCAGAAAGGGACGGCUAACUACGUG